UGCCGGAUCGUCUAAUGGUAGGACAGUGGCCCUUGGAGCCAUUAAUUGGGGUUCGAGUCCCUGUCCGGCAA
RNAcentral lists this transfer RNA (71 nucleotides) under Candidatus Portnoyibacteriota bacterium. Its description in RNAcentral is "tRNA-Gln". It matches the Rfam family "tRNA". Rfam says of the family: Transfer RNA (tRNA) molecules are approximately 80 nucleotides in length. Their secondary structure includes four short double-helical elements and three loops (D, anti-codon, and T loops). The record is from RNAcentral. Lineage: Bacteria; Candidatus Portnoyibacteriota. RNAcentral also lists the same sequence under 1 other name.